ACGAACGCUGGCGGCAGGCUUAACACAUGCAAGUCGAGCGCCCCGCAAGGGGAGCGGCAGACGGGUGAGUAACGCGUGGGAACAUACCCUUUACUACGGAACAACUCCGGGAAACUGGAGCUAAUACCGUAUGUGCCCUUCGGGGGAAAGAUUUAUCGGUAAAGGAUUGGCCCGCGUUGGAUUAGCUAGUUGGUGGGGUAAAGGCCUACCAAGGCGACGAUCCAUAGCUGGUCUGAGAGGAUGAUCA
Molecule: ribosomal RNA, 247 nt
Filed under: uncultured Rhizobium sp.
Lineage: Bacteria; Pseudomonadati; Pseudomonadota; Alphaproteobacteria; Hyphomicrobiales; Rhizobiaceae
Description: partial 16S ribosomal RNA
Rfam family: Bacterial small subunit ribosomal RNA
Source: RNAcentral